AGUGAACGCUGGCGGUAGGCCUAACACAUGCAAGUCGAACGGCAGCACAGUAAGAGCUUGCUCUUACGGGUGGCGAGUGGCGGACGGGUUAGGAAUACAUCGGAAUCUACUUUUUCGUGGGGGAUAACGUAGGGAAACUUACGCUAAUACCGCAUACGACCUACGGGUGAAAGCAGGGGAUCUUCGUACCUUGCGCGAUUGAAUGAGCCGAUGUCGGAUUAGCUAGUUGGCGGGGUAAAGGCCCACCAAGGCGACGAUCCGUAGCUGGUCUGAGAGGAUGAUCAGCCACACUGGAACUGAGACACGGUCCAGACUCCUACGGGAGGAAGCAGUGGGGAAUAUUGGACAAUGGGCGAAAGCCUGAUCCAGCCAUACCGCGUGGGUGAAGAAGGCCUUCGGGUUGUAAAGCCCUUUUGUUGGGAAAGAAAAGCAGCAGGUUAAUACCCCGCUGUUCUGACGGUACCCAAAGAAUAAGCACCGGCUAACUUCGUG
RNAcentral lists this ribosomal RNA (492 nucleotides) under uncultured bacterium. RNAcentral's name for it is "partial 16S ribosomal RNA". It matches the Rfam family "Bacterial small subunit ribosomal RNA", at positions 29 to 507 of the family's 1533-position model. The record is from RNAcentral.